UUGAGUUUGAAUCCUGGAUCAGAGCGAACGCUGGCGGCAUGCUUAACACAUCCAGUUCACGGUACUUUUGGAUUAGUGGUGACGGGUGGUUCGCGUACGCGUCUAUGGGUGGGGAAACKCCGGGGAAACUGGAGCUAAUACUGUGAUACCUGAGGGUCAAAGGCGCAAGUCGCCUGUGGCGAACCUGCGUUCGAUUAGCUAGUUGGKGGGGUAAAGGCCUACCAAGGCGAUGAUCGAUAAUGGUUUGAGAGGAUGAUCAGCCACACUGGGGAAGACACGGCCCAGACUCCUACGGGAGGCAGCAGUGGGGAAUAUUGGACAAUGGGCGCAAGCCUGAUCCAGCAAUGCCGCGUGUGUGAAGAAGGUCUUCGGAUUGUAAAGCACUUUCGACGGGGACGAUGAUGACGGUACCCGUAGAAGAAGCCAAGGCUAACUUCGUGCCAGCAGCCCCGGUAAUACGAAGGGGGCUAGCGUUGCUCGGAAUGACUGGGCGUAAAGGGCGCGUAGGCGGUUGAUGAAGUCAGAUGUGAAAUCCCCGGGCUUAACCUGGGAACUGCAUUUGAGACGCAUUGACUAGAGUUCGAGAGAGGGUUGUGGAAUUCCCAGUGUAGAGGUGAAAUUCGUAGAUAUUGGGAAGAACACCGGUGGCGAAGGCGGCAACCUGGCUCGAUACUGACGCUGAGGGCGCGAAAGCGUGGGGAGCAAACAGGAUUAGAUACCCUGGUAGUCCACGCUGUAAACGAUGUGUGCUGGAUGUUGGGGUAACUUAGUUACAGUGUCGAAG
This 784-nucleotide ribosomal RNA is filed under the name Gallus gallus (chicken). RNAcentral describes it as "bacterial SSU rRNA". It matches the Rfam family "Bacterial small subunit ribosomal RNA", at positions 1 to 851 of the family's 1533-position model. Lineage: Eukaryota; Metazoa; Chordata; Aves; Galliformes; Phasianidae. The record is from RNAcentral.